CUCAGUGUCAGUAUCAGUCCAGGUGGUCGCCUUCGCCACUGGUGUUCCUUCCUAUAUCUACGCAUUUCACCGCUACACAGGAAAUUCCACCACCCUCUACCAUACUCUAGCUUGUCAGUUUUGAAUGCAGUUCCCAGGUUGAGCCCGGGGCUUUCACAUCCAACUUAACAAACCACCUACGCGCGCUUUACGCCCAGUAAUUCCGAUUAACGCUUGCACCCUCUGUAUUACCGCGGCUGCUGGCACAGAGUUAGCCGGUGCUUAUUCUGUCGGUAACGUCAAAACAGCAACGUAUUAAGUUACUGCCCUUCCUCCCAACUUAAAGUGCUUUACAAUCCGAAGACCUUCUUCACACACGCGGCAUGGCUGGAUCAGGCUUUCGCCCAUUGUCCAAUAUUCCCCACUGCUGCCUCCCGUAGGAGUCUGGACCGUGUCUCAGUUCCAGUGUGACUGAUCAUCCUCUCAGACCAGUUACGGAUCGUCGCCUUGGUGAGCCAUUACCUCACCAACUAGCUAAUCCGACCUAGGCUCAUCUGAUAGCGCAAGGCCCGAAGGUCCCCUGCUUUCUCCCGUAGGACGUAUGCGGUAUUAGCGUCCCUUUCGAGACGUUGUCCCCCACUACCAGGCAGAUUCCUAGGCAUUACUCACCCGUCCGCCGCUGAAUCAGAGAGCAAGCUCUCUUCAUCCGCUCGACUUGCAUGUGUUAGGCCUGCCGCCAGCGUUCAAU
RNAcentral lists this ribosomal RNA (727 nucleotides) under Pseudomonas mohnii. Its description in RNAcentral is "partial 16S rRNA". The record is from RNAcentral. Lineage: Bacteria; Pseudomonadati; Pseudomonadota; Gammaproteobacteria; Pseudomonadales; Pseudomonadaceae.